This 468-nucleotide ribosomal RNA is filed under the name uncultured bacterium. RNAcentral's name for it is "partial 16S ribosomal RNA". It matches the Rfam family "Bacterial small subunit ribosomal RNA", at positions 28 to 507 of the family's 1533-position model. The record is from RNAcentral.
GACGAACGCUGGCGGCGUGCUUAACACAUGCAAGUCGAACGGAAAGGCCCUGCUUUUGUGGGGUGCUCGAGUGGCGAACGGGUGAGUAACACGUGAGUAACCUGCCCUUGACUUUGGGAUAACUUCAGGAAACUGGGGCUAAUACCGGAUAGGAGCUCCUGCUGCAUGGUGGGGGUUGGAAAGUUUCGGCGGUUGGGGAUGGACUCGCGGCUUAUCAGCUUGUUGGUGGGGUAGUGGCUUACCAAGGCUUUGACGGGUAGCCGGCCUGAGAGGGUGACCGGCCACAUUGGGACUGCGAUACGGCCCAGACUCCUACGGUAGGCAGCAGUGGGGAAUAUUGCACAAUGGGCGGAAGCCUGAUGCAGCAACGCCGCGUGCGGGGUGACGGCCUUCGGGUUGUAAACCGCUUUCGCCUGUGACGAAGCGUGAGUGACGGUAAUGGGUAAAGAAGCACCGGCUAACUACGUG